UCUCAACUAGGGUUUUUUUGCUUAUAAACUCUAGCUACCCAUUCCUGCCUCUCAUUUCUCAUCGUCUCGUUUCUCGCCGAAUUUCGAACCCAGAAGGAUCACAAGCUCUCCGUCUCAACCGUCAUCAUGAGGGCCAAGUGGAAGAAGAAGAGAAUGAGGAGGUUGAAGAGGAAGCGCCGAAAGAUGAGACAGAGAUCCAAGUGAUUGCAGCACGACCUGUUUCAGUUGGCGUUUUCUGAGCCGGGCUAGGGUUUUGAGUUUAAUCCCGGGCUUAGUUUGUUUGUUAGGGCUAAAGCGACUCUCGUUUUGGUACUCCUUUUUAUUUCAAGAUGAAUGUCUACAUUUUUAAUUGAUAUGGAAUUCGAUUACUUAUGAGUAAAUUCUCUUUCGUAUU
Argentina anserina (silverweed cinquefoil) is the source of this 394-nucleotide long non-coding RNA. RefSeq lists it as uncharacterized. The transcript has 2 exons. NCBI's taxonomy places the organism in Eukaryota, Viridiplantae, Streptophyta, Magnoliopsida, Rosales, Rosaceae. The record is from RefSeq and is a predicted model, not a curated record.